This 57-nucleotide microRNA precursor is filed under the name Columba livia (rock pigeon). RNAcentral describes it as "Cli-Mir-430-P2_pre stem-loop". It matches the Rfam family "mir-302 microRNA precursor family", at positions 6 to 63 of the family's 68-position model. The record is from RNAcentral. Lineage: Eukaryota; Metazoa; Chordata; Aves; Columbiformes; Columbidae.
GCUUUAACAUGGAGGUACCUGCUGCUUAGAAAAGUAAGUGCUUCCAUGUUUCAGUGG